This is a long non-coding RNA of Equus caballus (horse), 2717 nucleotides long. NCBI's taxonomy places the organism in Eukaryota, Metazoa, Chordata, Mammalia, Perissodactyla, Equidae. The record is from Ensembl.
GCGUUUCGCAUUUGCCCCUUGGCCCUGGUCUCUCGGUCUUGCUGCCUUCAGGCUUUAACUCCUCAUAGCUCCCUGUAGAUCAACCUCAUUCCUGCCUCUGGGGCUUUGUGAUGUCAGGUGUCCUCCUGGGAAUGCUCCUCUCCCCACACCCCACCAUGUAAGACCCCUCCCAGGACAUUGCUGCUGGCCUUCCUGGCACGUCCCAGCACUGCCCUGUGCUUCGUGUGGCUUGCUGGCUGCCCUGUGCCCAGGUGGCUUAGGACCUGGCCCCUGCAGGGCAGUGUUCUCUGUCCCACCUGGGUGGGGGCCAUGAAUGCCCCAUGCUCUGGGCUCAGCUGGAGAGCUCAGUGCAGACUGCUGACUCAUGAAGACAAGAAGGAAACAAGAUGAGAAAACCCAGAGAGGAGGCACAGAAGUCUGACACCUCCACGGGCUGCAGGAGUCUCAGAAUGCUGGAGCUGAAACAUCUGCUCAAGAUAUGGAAUGAAGGCCCCCAGGGAAGUGACCGAACAGGCUGAGAGCAGGGGACAGCACCGGCCUGUGCCCCGCUACUUUGAAGGCACGGAGGCAAUCCACCCGGACAAAGGACUGAACUCCAAGCAGACAGCCAGUGAAGGUGCCCGGCUUGCAGGGCAGCACCUGGAUGCUCCCUCCCGUCACUCCCCUCAAGUCUUCCUCUCCUUGAUGCUGCAGGGCAUUACCUGGGGCUGGCAGUCCUCAGCACCAUCACUCUCGUCGCUCUGCAGGCCCCUCUCGUCGGAGGACUCAUGUCGUGCCUGGCAGAUGCAGGAGCCGUCUGACUUCUGGAAGACCCUGUUCAGGCCCCAACAUGUGCAGUGGGAGGCACCUGGGGACAGAGAAGCCCUGUCGUCUGUCACAGGCACCUGGCAGUGAGCCAGAACCUGAGUGAACCCUCCGUCCCUGUCCACAGGGCGCCUGUGGUCCAGGGGGCAAGCAGACGCCCACUGUCCCCAAAGUUGGGGCUGAGACGGUCUUUGUGAGGAUUGGGUGGGAUCUUCUAAAUCAGUCAUUCUCAACCCUGACUUGCACUGCAUUCAUCUGAGAAGCUUUUAAAAAACAUUGCUGUUCAGAUGCCCUUCAGGCCAAUUAAGCAAAGAUCUCUGAGGUGAGGCCAGGGCAUCUCCUUUCUGACAGUCCCUUGAGCACUGCAAUGUGCGGCUGGGGCUGAGCACUGCUGACGCCGUGGAAAGCACUUGACGUCCUGUGGAAGGCGUUGUUCCUUCCACGAUCACGCAAAGCCACGUGGGGUCGGUCCCGAAGGACUGGCACAGGCCUCUGUCUCUGGACAAGAGGAGAGAUCCGCAGAGCCUGAAGGCCGCUCAAGAGGCCUGAAGGAUGGAUGGGAUUAGAAGGGCAGAGCUGGGAGCACAGGAAUUCUCAGCAGGGAAGGUGACAGCUACCCGUGGUGAGCCGUGGUCCGGAAGCAGACGAUCCUCCUCCUGACGUAUUGUCAGAAGGUCAGUAGCAGCCUAACUACAUCACAAUGCCUGUGUCGUUCGCCUCUCUUCACCUCCUCACGCAGGCACUGGAUCAUCUCACAUCAUCGCAAGAGGAAGAAGGAUGGUAAGAAGCCUAAUCAGAACACAAGCCUGAGGAGGAUGUUGGCUUAUUUCAGCAUUCGACCCACAGGUGAUCAAGGGGCUGAACUGUGUUAUGGACUGAAUUGUGUUACCCCCUAAAAGUUUGUGUUGAAGUCCUAACCCCCAGUAUCUUAGAAUGUGACUGUAUUUGGAGAUAGGUCCUUUAAAGAGGUGAUUAACUUAAAAUGAGGCCUUUAGGGUGGGCCCUAACUCAAUCUGACUGGUGUACCUAUAAGAAGAGAAAAAUUGGACACACGAAGAGACCCCAGCGAUGCUUGCACACAGUGGAAAGACCAUGUAAGGACACAGCAAGAGGACGGCCAUCUGUAAGCUAGGAGAGAGGUCUCAAAAGAAACCAAACCUGCUGACACCUUUAUCUUGGACUUCUAGCCUCCAGAACUGUGAGAAAAUAAAUCUCUAUUGGUUAAGGCACCUAGACUAUGGUAUUCUGUUAUGGCAGCCCAAGGGUUCUAUGUCACAGAGAAUGGCUGCAACAAUUUUAUCCUGAAAACAUUUUAAGUAGCUACCUAAAGGUCAUCUCACAAAAAUUAUACUUCUCAACCACUAAAGCAAUUGGCCAUACUAGGUUGUUAUGUACAAGUCAGUGACAUGUAAUUUAGAUGACACAACGAUUGGGACCCACUUCACCCAGGCUCUGAUCUCCAGGUAAUGGGGGUCACAGGAUUCAGGGGGUUGCUCACCUAAGAGAUAGAAUGCCUUAUCCAGAAGACAAGAAAGGAUGGCAGGAUCUCUGACAACCUCCAAUCACACCAUUUGAAGGUGGUAUGGCACGGUGAUCAAGAGCAGGAAUUUGGGAGUCAGCUAGACUGGCUUCAAAUCCUGGUUCUGCCACUAAAUGUUGGAAUGUGGGCCAGUUAUUGAAACUCUCUGUGGCUCAGUUUAGUAUUUGUAAACCAGGAAUGAUAGUGAUUGUGCCGUUUCAUGGAAUUAAUACAAGAACGCCAUGAGUUGAUGCUUGGACAGCACUUAGAGCAGUGCCUGCCUGUGGAACUGAGACUCCUCGUCCAGUUCAGGCCAGUUGAGACCACCAAUCCAUCAACUGGACCUGCACAAAUGCUUGAUAAGUGACCUUUUUGACGUCAAGGAGCUAAAAAC